GCCGCUGUAGCUCAGCUGGUAGAGCAGCUCACUCGUAAUGAGCAGGUCGUCCGUUCGAAUCGGAUCAGCGGCUCCA
This 76-nucleotide transfer RNA is filed under the name Deltaproteobacteria bacterium. RNAcentral describes it as "tRNA-Thr". It matches the Rfam family "tRNA". From Rfam's summary of the family: Transfer RNA (tRNA) molecules are approximately 80 nucleotides in length. RNAcentral also lists the same sequence under 3 other names. The record is from RNAcentral. Lineage: Bacteria; Pseudomonadati; Myxococcota; Myxococcia.